UCCACUUCCAGGUUCACCGCCAAACAUGUGGAGGGCCCCCCCUGGGACUUGGAUGCUCCAUCCAUCCUAGCAUCACAGUGCUCAUGAGCCAUGCCUGCUACCUCAAGGUAUGUAGAAAAAACUUUUAAAACUGUGCCUGUGUCUGAAUCACUGAUUCUCCAAAUCAGCAUCGAAUCUUCAGAUUCGGAUUCAGCUGAAUCAAAUCAGGGACAGUGAUCCGAAUCAACAAAUUGAAUCACUGUCCCUGAUUCAAGCCAAAUUCAAAUCAAAUAGGGCCUGCUUCGCACACCCCUAGAACCCAUUACUUAACAGCCUGUCUCUCCCUGCCUGGGAAGGGGGCAAGCUAUCAGCUAGCAGUUGGCAGCUGCUGAAAAACAGCAGCUGCCACAGACAGCCUGGGGAGGGUUCCAGCCCUGGAAGAAUGUACCCCUCUUCCUGCCAAACAGCUGAUGUGAAAGGCGGCUGCAAAAUCUUGAAACAUUGCAGCCAGGAAAGGCACAGGGAUGUACAUCUGUCCCCCAGCUAAAACAUUUCCUUUUUCAAGUAUCACCAAGCAUGUUUUACUUGGAUCUAUGAAGUGGGAAACAGAUGCUAACAUAUGUAGACUGCAGAUAUCAUAGACAAGGACCUAUCCAGAUCAAGGCAAGAGACGAGCAAUUUUGCAGGCUUAUUGUGGUGCUGGCCACCAUUUUCAUGGGUUUAUAGUGGCAGCCUCUGCCCUCGCCCCCAACACUGAUUGGCCAAGGAGCUGCCUUUCGUGCAGCCCUGCCCCUUGCUGCUGAUUAACAGAGGCCUGCCCUUCACAUGGCCCCAUUGCUCACCACUGAUUGGCAGAGAGAGGCAGGGCUUCAUGAAGGGUAACCCUCUCAGCCAAUCAAUGGCAGAGGAAUGGCUCCCUUUGGGGAGCCAUAAUUUUUUUUUUUUUUAGUACUUUUUUUUCUGGCAAUUCUGUGCAAUAUCACGAUUUGAGUAGGUCCCUAAUUAUAGGAUUCCCCCACUCCACCCCCCUGAUUUUCAAGAACAGACUUCAACUAGGCACGUUAACGGUAUAUCCUUCUGCUUUUGAAUCAGAUACUGCCUGAGAUAGGUAGGUGGAUUUGAUGGACCUGUGAGCUAGUAACUAGAAGAAAGUAUGAAACUAAGAACCUUGCAUCCUUACAAUGACACGUUCUUAAAUUUUUUUUUGUUUGUUUGUUAGUUUUGUUUUUGUAAUUUUAAGCUACAGCCCAUAGUAGAUACAGGGAGAAAAUUCGAGAAAUAUACCACACUGUCAGCAGCUCCUGAGGUCGACCGGAUGAAACUCUGGCUAAUGUCACCUGAUGGUCAUUGACUCUACUGUCAUUGAACUCUCAGUAACCGCGGUCAGGCCUAAAUCUCACACACUGUGAUCAAAGUAGUCACAGAGGGGCUGCAAAGAAGAGUAACCUUUGUAACAUCUUUUAACAGGAAGGAGCAUGCAAAAGUCCUUGGCUCAGUCUCAAUUUCCAGUCAUCAUAAAGCCAGACAAUCACUUCUCCUCACCACCUUUAAACAUUUAGUUCUGGUGUCAGUGCCAAAGCUCCCCAAGCCUACUAGAUAGGAACAUAAUCAAUGUCUCUGCAAAAGGUAAGAGUGUUAAGUAGGAAGAUUCCUUUUCCCUUUCUGUGUCUUGAAGACUGUGCAAGCACUGGUACAAGCUAGCCCAUGAUGCUUUACCAGGUAAAAUUCCCUUCAUAUUCGAAGCCAGCUGAUAAGGUUACAUAUUAACACUGGUUACGUUAACACUUGGCUCUGGUGACAUGUAUUAUUUGACCUACUGUACAGUGGCACUUUGUCUUUUUGCCUGCAAAGAAUUCAAGUAGAGAUUGCUGACGUUAAUAGGGAAGGAGAGGAGGGUGGAAAGAAGCCAGGCCUAAGAUAUUGGCAGAUAUCAGACGAGCACACAAAGGCAGCAAACAGAAAAUAUUGAUUGGCACUUCACACUGGACUAUGCUUCCCGGGUACAAUAUUCAUCUGAUUUAUUUUCCACACAAAUUUAUUAAAUCAUUGUUAAAGGGUGUGGCUUUCCAUGGAAAGAAUGGUAUUCUUCACAAAUGUCUGUGACUUGGUUUUAUUUCAAAGAUUGUUUUCCCCCCUGUUUUGAACUAACAAUGUUGUCAGACAAUUCAAGCAUAAGGACCUCUGUCAAACUACUAAAAAAAGCUCAAAAUGUAGAUAUUAUGGCAAUGAGUGCCACAUAAAUAAAGAAAAAAAAUUUAAUGUGGAGGAAGGUAUUCUCAUCACUCCUCUUAAAGUUCCACAAAAAGCAAUGAUUUAUAUAAUACAAAAACUUCUCUCCAAUCUCCUAAAUCCAAGAAAUAAAAGGAUUGCAGCAGUAUAUGAGAAACAGAUUAAAAAAAAAAAAUACCAGAAACCACAAAGUGUCCAAACUCAAUGAAAAGGCAAGAGGGUAAGAAUUAAACAAGCAGUAGGACUGGUGACUCAGUUUUGUAAAAGACUGCCCCAUCAUGGUUCACUUAAGGAGUGGUCACCUAUCAGUUCUCCUGUGUCACAUUGGGAUCAAUAUUAUGCUUCCUCAACUACACAAAUCAAGGGUCUUUCAAAUCCAACCUUGACUAGCUCCAGCACUGGUAAUUUCACAACCUCCCUGGGCAGCUCGCUGGUCAUAGAGCUAGAGUUUCCUUAAUAUUUAACCUGCAGCAAUUUAAGUUUGUUACUUCUUUCCCCUUAGACUAAAGAGAACAGUUGCCCUCUUUACAGUAUCCCUUAGCAUAUUCAAAUAGACAAUUAUGUCUCUCUAGCUUUUUGUUCAAGUCGACUCCCCUAAUCUUUUCUCAGGCUCUAGGGCUUAUAUACCAAAAUUUUCAUUAUCUUUGUUGCUGUCCUCUGAACUCUAUUCAGUUUGUAUGUUUAAAAAAGCAAGGCCCAGACAAUGCAGAGUAGAGCAGAAUAACAACCCAGACAACAGCUCCUAUUGUGGUCAUAUACACACAUUGGUCUUUUCUGUAACAACCGCAUGUUAGCUUACUUCAUAAAUGCUCACUAGAAAUCAUCCAUCUAACUCCAUGCUGCUCAAUGGACAAAUCAUUACUUGCUUGGAUGGAAAGGACAAAAUCCAUAGUGGGAUCCAUAGUGUACCCUGGAAGUGAUUACAAAAAUGAUACUGACCCAGAUGUCAUGCUGUCUGGCCCCACACACUAGGGGUGGUUAUCUGUGUGAAUUAGAGUCUGCCCAUGGGAAAAGCAGAAUGGGACUCUGGAGACCAAGGCACUAUUUAACACUGCCUUUCCAGUAAAUUAGAAGAGAAUAUACUGAUAAAAUAAUAUAGCAAAAGCCUUUUGCACAACCAUAUUUUGAAUCAAGCGCCUUUCCUGUAAAGCACAAAAGCCCUGCUGGAGCUAUACCAAUAAGGCAAUGAGAGAGAUACAGGAACUAAGAGCAGAGCCAACCUUAGGAAAAAUGGGGCCCUGGGCAAAAUUGUAUUUUGGUGCUCCACCUUUGAGUUUAAGUAUGUAGUAGUAUUAGCAAAAGUUUCAGAAAUAAAUCCCGGGGGGGAUGGAGCUGCUGGGCUGGAUCAAGAGACUUGCUUCCCUGCAGACAGGCACUGCUGCUGCUGUGUGGGAUCAAGGUGGACAGACUGGAUCAGACACCACCCUGCCCUCACAGGCACAGCCUGAGCAGUGGCUGGAGGUGUGGGGUCGGCUGGCCUGGGCACUGUUCCUCCUGCCUGAGGAGUUUAGAUUAGCAUCAUGUUAACUGUGGAUUACCUGAUCUGCAUCACAGCCCACUGGUUACUUACAUGAGGAGAGGUAUGUUUCAUUUAGUUUCUUUAUCUUGGGAGUCCUUUUCUUUUUCUUUAAGGAAAAUUAAUGAAUCUUUCAUAUUCAGUGAACCCAGGAGACCAUAGAAAUAUCACUUUGAGCUAGGAAGAGAAGAGAUAUACAGAUCGGUAACAAGAAGAUGAGGAAGAAACAUCAUGUGAGAGAAGUUAGGAAUGGUGAUCAGAGAUUGAGAGAAGAAAAAAAAAAGAGAUCAGAACACAAAAAAUAGGAGGUCAACAAAAGAGAAGAGACAUAAAGAACAUAAGAAGUGCUCUACUGCAUCAGACCACAGGUCCACGUAACCCAGUAUCCAGUGGCAGAGUGGAUGCUAAGGGGAAGAAUAUAAACACAGGGCCUAGAAAGUCCUAAUUUGGAAGUGCAACCGUAAUUAUUAUGCUUAAUAUCCACUGACAGACCUACCCUGCAUAAAUUUGUCCAAUUCUCUUAUGAAUUUGGUUGACUUAUCAGCCUCUACAACAUCUUGUGGUAAUCAAUUGCACAAGUUAAUUGCAUGCUGCGUGAUUUCUUUUUUGUUUGUUUUAAACCUCCUUCUUAACAAUUUCAUUGUGUAUUCCCUAGUUCUAAUAUCAUGAGGAAUGGUAACCAGUAAAUUCCUAUUUAUUUUC
Long non-coding RNA from Alligator mississippiensis (American alligator), 4426 nucleotides. RefSeq lists it as uncharacterized. NCBI's taxonomy places the organism in Eukaryota, Metazoa, Chordata, Crocodylia, Alligatoridae. The record is from RefSeq and is a predicted model, not a curated record. The transcript has 2 exons.